CAGGACCAAGCUGGGAGAGGUUUGUCAGCAAAACACUGUGGUCCUGAAAUUUCAAGCCUGAGGCGGAGCUGGGAAGAACAUCCUAGAGCUCCUGGGUUUCUAUCUAGGGCUUUGGACACAGCUUCAGUCAAAGAGUCCCCCUUCCUGAAAGUGGGUACCGAGACAUGAGCUUUCAAUACCUGCAAAUUUCCAUCUGGUUUGUUAGCAGCACUCCUCAUGAAGGGGAUUAUGAAAAGUUGGAGAUGCUACAGUGUUUCAUACUCAUUUGACUGUGGUGGCUGAGCUGAACAACUUCUGACUUGCCCUCCUGAAGGUGAACGGAGGACAAGGCUGUGCAGUGGGGCUGGUGACAACUCGGUUUCAACCUCUGC
Molecule: long non-coding RNA, 371 nt
Filed under: Catharus ustulatus (Swainson's thrush)
Lineage: Eukaryota; Metazoa; Chordata; Aves; Passeriformes; Turdidae
Description: lncRNA (ENSCUSG00005000740.1)
Source: RNAcentral